Molecule: microRNA precursor, 205 nt
Filed under: Oryza sativa Japonica Group (Japanese rice)
Lineage: Eukaryota; Viridiplantae; Streptophyta; Magnoliopsida; Poales; Poaceae
Description: MIR812 microRNA precursor family
Rfam family: MIR812 microRNA precursor family
Source: Rfam by way of RNAcentral
AAAAAGACAAACUCUGGUUUCCGUGCCCAACGUUUGACCGUCCGUCUUAUUUGAAAAAAUUAUAAAAAAAAUUAAAAAGACAAGUCACGCAUAAAAUAUUAAUCAUGUUUUAUCAUUUAACAAGAAUAAAAAUACGAAUUAUAAAAAAAUUUUAUAUAAGACGGACAGUCAAAGUUGAACAUGGAAACCCAGGGUUUGCCUUUUC